UUCUUUAAGGUAAGGAGGUGAUCCAACCGCAGGUUCCCCUACGGUUACCUUGUUACGACUUCACCCCAGUCAUGAAUCACAAAGUGGUAAGCGCCCUCCCGAAGGUUAAGCUACCUACUUCUUUUGCAACCCACUCCCAUGGUGUGACGGGCGGUGUGUACAAGGCCCGGGAACGUAUUCACCGUGGCAUUCUGAUCCACGAUUACUAGCGAUUCCGACUUCAUGGAGUCGAGUUGCAGACUCCAAUCCGGACUACGACGCACUUUAUGAGGUCCGCUUGCUCUCGCGAGGUCGCUUCUCUUUGUAUGCGCCAUUGUAGCACGUGUGUAGCCCUGGUCGUAAGGGCCAUGAUGACUUGACGUCAUCCCCACCUUCCUCCAGUUUAUCACUGGCAGUCUCCUUUGAGUUCCCGGCCGGACCGCUGGCAACAAAGGAUAAGGGUUGCGCUCGUUGCGGGACUUAACCCAACAUUUCACAACACGAGCUGACGACAGCCAUGCAGCACCUGUCUCACGGUUCCCGAAGGCACAUUCUCAUCUCUGAAAACUUCCGUGGAUGUCAAGACCAGGUAAGGUUCUUCGCGUUGCAUCGAAUUAAACCACAUGCUCCACCGCUUGUGCGGGCCCCCGUCAAUUCAUUUGAGUUUUAACCUUGCGGCCGUACUCCCCAGGCGGUCUACUUAACGCGUUAGCUCCGGAAGCCACGCCUCAAGGGCACAACCUCCAAGUAGACAUCGUUUACGGCGUGGACUACCAGGGUAUCUAAUCCUGUUUGCUCCCCACGCUUUCGCACCUGAGCGUCAGUCUUUGUCCAGGGGGCCGCCUUCGCCACCGGUAUUCCUCCAGAUCUCUACGCAUUUCACCGCUACACCUGGAAUUCUACCCCCCUCUACAAGACUCAAGCCUGCCAGUUUCGAAUGCAGUUCCCAGGUUGAGCCCGGGGAUUUCACAUCCGACUUGACAGACCGCCUGCGUGCGCUUUACGCCCAGUAAUUCCGAUUAACGCUUGCACCCUCCGUAUUACCGCGGCUGCUGGCACGGAGUUAGCCGGUGCUUCUUCUGCGGGUAACGUCAAUUGCUGCGGUUAUUAACCACAACACCUUCCUCCCCGCUGAAAGUACUUUACAACCCGAAGGCCUUCUUCAUACACGCGGCAUGGCUGCAUCAGGCUUGCGCCCAUUGUGCAAUAUUCCCCACUGCUGCCUCCCGUAGGAGUCUGGACCGUGUCUCAGUUCCAGUGUGGCUGGUCAUCCUCUCAGACCAGCUAGGGAUCGUCGCCUUGGUGAGCCGUUACCUCACCAACAAGCUAAUCCCAUCUGGGCACAUCUGAUGGCAAGAGGCCCGAAGGUCCCCCUCUUUGGUCUUGCGACGUUAUGCGGUAUUAGCCACCGUUUCCAGUAGUUAUCCCCCUCCAUCAGGCAGUUUCCCAGACAUUACUCACCCGUCCGCCACUCGUCAGCAAAGCAGCAAGCUGCUUCCUGUUACCGUUCGACUUGCAUGUGUUAGGCCUGCCGCCAGCGUUCAAUCUGAGCCAUGAUCAAACUCUUCAAUUUAAAAGUUUGAUGCUCAAUGAAUUAAACUUCGUAAUGAAUUACGUGUUCACUCUUGAGACUUGGUAUUCAUUUUUCGUCNNNNNNNNNNNNNNNNNNNNACAGAUUGUCUGAUAAAUUGUUAAAGAGCAGGUGCGACGCGGCUUUCAGCUCACCGUCGCGAGGUGGCGUAUAUUACGCUUUCCUCUUUCAGAGUCAA
Molecule: ribosomal RNA, 1748 nt
Filed under: Salmonella enterica subsp. enterica serovar Paratyphi A
Lineage: Bacteria; Pseudomonadati; Pseudomonadota; Gammaproteobacteria; Enterobacterales; Enterobacteriaceae
Description: 16S ribosomal RNA
Source: RNAcentral